This 268-nucleotide ribosomal RNA is filed under the name uncultured alveolate. RNAcentral describes it as "partial Bacterial small subunit ribosomal RNA". It matches the Rfam family "Bacterial small subunit ribosomal RNA", at positions 510 to 777 of the family's 1533-position model. The record is from RNAcentral.
AGCAGCCGCGGUAAUACGGAGGGUGCGAGCGUUGUCCGGAUUUAUUGGGUUUAAAGGGUACGUAGGCGGUAUAUUAAGUCAGUGGUGAAAUUCUGCAGCUCAACUGUAGGCGUGCCAUUGAUACUGGUAUACUUGAGUGUUGUAAGGGUGGGCGGAAUUCCGCAUGUAGCGGUGAAAUGCAUAGAUAUGCGGAGGAACACCGAAAGCGAAGGCAGCUCACUAGGCAACAACUGACGCUGAGGUACGAAAGCGUGGGGAGCGAACAGGA